UUAAAAAUGAUGAGGAAAAAAUAUAUUAUUAAUUUUUCCCCCAUUUUUUCCUACUAGUUCUUCAUCCGGGCUUCCAAAGAAUAAGCAUCAGAAACUUUCACAGAGGAAACCACCAGUAUGUGUAGAGGAUGUACUGGAUGCUAUUCAGGUUUAUCCUCAUGUAUUGCCCCUCAGGUCAUUAUAUACUCUAGCUAUUGAAAAGAUAUUAGCUCGACUGCCAUUUGGAAACAAUUCAGCAUCUGGAAGAAAUGAGAAAACCCCUUAAUCACAUCAUAAAUUAUACAGUACAAAGUCCAAGAUAUGAAAUUGUUUAGGAACUUCAGCAAUUCCAUAAAUUUCUGGAUUUUAGAUCAUCAGUUUAAGUAUAGUGAGAUGACAUCUAAAAAUUGUAUUAAAAAUCUGAAACAGUAGUUUAUAAAAUAAUGAAGCAUUUAUAAUAUUACAAAAAUCAAAAUUUUUAAAAGGUGGUCUUAAUUUUGUUAUUAAUAAUUUCUUUUAAUGUAAGUAAUAAAAAAAGUUUUUUUAUGUUAAUAUUUUCUCUUUAAUUUUAUAGAUAAACAUAAUUUUGCAUUCACUUACAAAGUUCUACUGCUAAAAUCCUGUAAUUGGCAUGUAAAGAAUUCCCACUUAACUAUCAGGUGAAAUCUAUUCAUUCUCAAAAACAUCUUUGUUGCUUUCUUCACUGUCAGUAGCUAUAUUUUUUUGGAUUUAAAACCAUCCUACAGAUUUCACCACCCAUUAGUUAACUCUUGAUAAAGAAACCUUCAUCGCUUUGGCAAACUUCUGUUAUAUCAUUUUUAUUUAUUAUCACUUCUCCACAUUUGUUUACAAAUGCCAUUAACUGGAAAAGAAUUCAAAAUUUAUGCCAAAAUAAGGCUGUUAUAUUGCCUAAUUUUGAAAUCUCAAUUUCAUGAACUCAAAUUGCAGCAAUACUGUUUUCUCUUUCUGUUCCAUUAUGCAUACUUUGCAAAUCCUGCUACUGGGCAAGGAUCAGAAAAUCUUUUAGGAAAAAAAUAAAAAAUUUGGACUGUCAUUUUAAUAACAUAACUGCAGUUAUAAUAACCUGCCCAAAAUAAUAUACUGUAUCAAAUUAAAGAAUGUUGGAAGAGUACAGUUUGCUAUGUUCAUUGAACUUAAGAUUUUCGGAAGCUAAUUCUCUCUUUCUUCUUCUCUCCAUGGGUAUUUAGAAAAAAGUAUGAGCUACAUCCUAUGUCAAAUAUGUCUUUCACUUACUGUUUAGGUUCAGAUAGAAAAAUACGAAUGCCUUAAUAUUCAGUGUGUGGGGCGACUAACAUUAAUUAGUGUACAAGCAGCAAGUAUGAUCCCUAGCCAACAGGAGUUUGAAAGUGGGAUAGAAGACUUAUUUCUAUUAUUUUAAAUUCUUGAAUUUUGUAUUAAAAAAAAAAAAACAAAACCAGUAGUCCUGAGAUCCAGAUUUCAGACUUUGUACUGUAAGUAACUUAAUAAAAUAUAUUUUCAUUUGAAAUAAAAAUUUUGGUGAUGUGUGUGGGAAAAAGUUUUAUAAAUCUGUUGCUUUUACUUUUGUUCCUUUUAUUAAAAAAUAGCUGCUUUCUCCCAAAAAGUGUCAUAAAUUCUAUCUUUAAGAAUAUAAUUUAAUAUUUUUUUAUAUGCAAAAUGUGUAGUUAUUACAGAAGAUUUAUAUUGAAUUCCUUAAAUGACUGUUUUCUGGAAUUUGCUAUGUGUAUGCAAUUUUUAUUGUUGGAGCUCAUCUUACAAAGUAAGACGUAAUUAUAAUUCUGUGGUUUGAAAGUGUAUAAUUUUCUGUAUGUGUAAAAUAUUGAGCUUUCUUUGUAUAGCAUCGUAUUAUAAAAUAUUUGUUUUUCUGUC
Long non-coding RNA from Stegodyphus dumicola, 1848 nucleotides. Lineage: Eukaryota; Metazoa; Arthropoda; Arachnida; Araneae; Eresidae. The record is from RefSeq and is a predicted model, not a curated record.